Molecule: small nuclear RNA, 104 nt
Organism: Mustela putorius furo (domestic ferret)
Lineage: Eukaryota; Metazoa; Chordata; Mammalia; Carnivora; Mustelidae
Source: Ensembl
GUACUUGCUUCUGCAGCACAUAUAUUAAUAUUGGAAUGAUGCAGAGAUUAGCACACACCCUACUCAAGAAUGACACGCAAACUCCUGAAGAGUUCCAUAUUAAA